Molecule: ribosomal RNA, 496 nt
Filed under: uncultured bacterium
Lineage: Bacteria
Description: partial 16S ribosomal RNA
Rfam family: Bacterial small subunit ribosomal RNA
Source: RNAcentral
GAUGAACGCUGGCGGCGUGCCUAAUACAUGCAAGUCGAGCGAACAGACGAGGAGCUUGCUCCUCUGACGUUAGCAGCGGACGGGUGAGUAACACGUGGAUAACCUACCUAUAAGACUGGGAUAACUUCGGGAGACCGGAGCUAAUACCGGAUAAUAUAUUGAACCGCAUGGUUCAAUAGUGAAAGACGGUUUUGCUGUCACUUAUAGAUGGAUCCGCGCCGCAUUAGCUAGUUGGUAAGGUAACGGCUUACCAAGGCAACGAUGCGUAGCCGACCUGAGAGGGUGAUCGGCCACACUGGAACUGAGACACGGUCCAGACUCCUACGGGAGGCAGCAGUAGGGAAUCUUCCGCAAUGGGCGAAAGCCUGACGGAGCAACGCCGCGUGAGUGAUGAAGGUCUUCGGAUCGUAAAACUCUGUUAUUAGGGAAGAACAAAUGUGUAAGUAACUAUGCACGUCUUGACGGUACCUAAUCAGAAAGCCACGGCUAACUACGU